Molecule: unclassified non-coding RNA, 380 nt
Filed under: fungal sp.
Lineage: Eukaryota; Fungi
Description: partial internal transcribed spacer region
Rfam family: Eukaryotic small subunit ribosomal RNA (bases 1-46)
Source: RNAcentral
AAGUCGUAACAAGGUUUCCGUAGGUGAACCUGCGGAAGGAUCAUUAUCCUUUAGCUUAGUAUGCAAAUACUAAAAGCGCAUGCACCAAUGUGUUGCGUAAAAAUGCACAGCGGCCAUGCCUCGUCUUGGCCGCUAACCAAAUCCAUGCCUGCUCGGGCAUGGUCGGGUACCUACUAAGUACGCAAGUACACCAAGCGGCAGAUGCUAGUAUCUGCCGUGUGGCGUAAAGAUCAUUCGAAGCCCGUCGAAUGACGCCCGCUUAGCAAAAAAUCUUAUACCAAAUACAUCACACUUAUUAUGUUGUAUGUGUAAAGCACUAUCCGGUACUACUACUUGGAUAAUAACACAAAUACAACCCUAUGCGGUGGAUCAUUUGGCUC